CUAUUCAAAAAAGGAUGCAAUGGAGAACAUUUACAGAGAGGCCUGUGGGUAAAGCAAAGUCUUCAAGAGAAGAUAACAAAGGAUGAAACAAUGGUGUUGUGUGACUUCCUAGUGUGAAUCAUGGCAAUACAGUGAAAGACGGUGAUUUACUGCUUUUGAGGGCAUGCAUGUAUAUGAUUAACAGAUGGAAGUGCAGGACUCCAAGAUUUACUUCCUUCCCUUUCCAGCAGAAUUACCUGAGAGGAGUAAAAUCUACUGGUGGAGUCACUCCGUUAUUCCUAUCUGUGGAGAUCUAGAUCUUGAUUGGAAAGUUUCUGAGAAAAUCUUCAGCUCAGACUUGAAGGUCAACUUUACCAGCUGAAGUGACUACAUCCUGCCUGCUUUCAGCUCCAGUGGAAAAUGCAUUAAUCCCAGAGUCUCCGUGAGGUUUCCUGUUUGAUGACAUAAUCAGAAAAUCCUCCUCACAUUGCCCUUGGGGUUGCUGUCUGGAUGUUAUGUUGUCUUGGUGGGCGUAACUCAGCCAUCAAAAAAAUCAGCACAGGCCAUAAACUCAGGACCUGAAAUGCAUUAACGUAAUGUUAAACGAAAUAACGCUGUGGGUAUGUCUGCAGCACUGGUAGGGAAUUUCAUUAAACUGCAGAUUCUCCCUGG
Molecule: long non-coding RNA, 651 nt
Organism: Symphalangus syndactylus (siamang)
Lineage: Eukaryota; Metazoa; Chordata; Mammalia; Primates; Hylobatidae
Source: RefSeq, a predicted model, not a curated record